This 670-nucleotide ribosomal RNA is filed under the name uncultured fungus. RNAcentral's name for it is "eukaryotic LSU rRNA". It matches the Rfam family "Eukaryotic large subunit ribosomal RNA", at positions 24 to 664 of the family's 3401-position model. Lineage: Eukaryota; Fungi. The record is from RNAcentral.
CCCGCUGAACUUAAGCAUAUUACUAAGCGGAGGAAAAGAAAUCAACGAAGAUUGCCUCAGUAGCGGCGAGUGAAGCGGCAAAAGCUCAAGUUUAGAAUCUGUAGCCUUCUUGGCUACCGAAUUGUAAUCUAAAGGGGCUAACAAAAGGGGAAGUGGAAGCAUAAGUUCCUUGGAACAGGACGUCACAGAGGGUGAAAACCCCGUAUGUAGCUUUCACUGAACCGAAUGUUGACCUUCUGAGAGUCGGGUUGUUUGGGAUUGCAGCCCUAAAUGGGAGAUAAACUUCUUCUAAGGCUAAAUAUUUAUGGGAAACCGAUAGCGAACAAGUACUGUGAAGGAAAGGUGAAAAGAACUUUGAAAAGAGGGUUAAAAGACUUGAAAUCGUUGAGAAGGAAGCAGUAGAAGUGGAUUAUGUUAACUAGGAAGCAAGUCAUGUAAGGAACCAACUCGUGGUGGUGUGAGUACGUCAUUGGCUUAGCUAUCACGAAGUAAUGGCACUUUAUGGCGAUUUCCUAGUUAAAGGGCAGAACCAGGUCUAUACUUUUGUUGGAAUCAGUUGGAGGAAAGUCCAUAGUCUCUGAUUAUGAAUCCUUCUUCAAAACAACAAAAUGGCCUGAGGAAAUUCUGGGUUCUGCCACAACGGCUUCUACUGACCCGUCUUGAAACACGG